Molecule: ribosomal RNA, 520 nt
Filed under: uncultured Glomus
Lineage: Eukaryota; Fungi; Glomeromycota; Glomeromycetes; Glomerales; Glomeraceae
Description: SSU rRNA
Rfam family: Eukaryotic small subunit ribosomal RNA
Source: RNAcentral
AGCAGCCGCGGUAAUUCCAGCUCCAAUAGCGUAUAUUAAAGUUGCUGCAGUUAAAAAGCUCGUAGUUGAAUUUCGGGACCAAUAUGUCGGUCGUGCCUCGGUACGUACUGGCAUCGUUGGUUUCUCCCUUCUGACGAACCAUGAUGUCAUUUAUUUGGUGUCGUGGGGAAUCAGGACUGUUACUUUGAAAAAAUUAGAGUGUUUAAAGCAGGCUCACGCUUGAAUACAUUAGCAUGGAAUAAUGAAAUAGGACGUUUGAUUCUAUUUUGUUGGUUUCUAGGAUUGACGUAAUGAUUAAUAGGGAUAGUUGGGGGCAUUAGUAUUCAAUUGUCAGAGGUGAAAUUCUUGGAUUUAUUGAAGACUAACUACUGCGAAAGCAUUUGCCAAGGAUGUUUUCAUUAAUCAAGAACGAAAGUUAGGGGAUCGAAGACGAUCAGAUACCGUCGUAGUCUUAACCAUAAACUAUGCCGACUAGGGAUCGGAUGAUGUUAAUUUUUAAUGACUCAUUCGGCGCCUUAAC